GGCACAGAAAGCCACCUCCCAGACACCCCAGGAAGGCGACAGAGAGACCAGAGGCGUGGCUGGGAGUUCUCAGAUAGAAGCCACUUCCGGCCAGGCCUGGCUAAGUCCUUCGGCCUCUGCUCUAUCACCGACUCCUCACAGCCAGCCCACUAGGCACAAUGGAGCCUUCUGAUGAGGAACUUGGUGCCUUCAACCAGAGCGAGUGCCAAAGGCUGCUGGAAGACAGAGGCCGUGGGCGCUCCAUGAGGAGGGGCCGGGACCCCCGGCCAUGCCCGCGGAGUUCAAACGGAACCAGGCUGCUACGACAGGCUAACUCCAAAUAACCGAGAGGCCCGACGGGUUCACAGAAUCCUCAGGAACUGGAGUAAACGGUGACCCGUUUUCGAGAUGGACAAACUAAAAAAGCUCAGCAGCAUUUCGUACCAGAUACACCCGGGGAGCUACAGAGGCCUGGCACCUGGGUCAAGGGCUGGGGGCAAAGACCAGUGACCAUGCUCCUCUCGGCCAGCCCCAGGGGGAUCCGGCCACCUGGUCAGGGCCCCCGGCCAGGUGUCACGGCAAGGUGGCCGUGUCGUGAGCGCGGCAGGGGUCUGCGCUUACCUUUCUAGGUCUGGCAGCUGGGUGAUGGACAGCGGCUCUCCUCCUCACCCCCCUCACAGCAUUGGUCUGACGCCAACCGGCUCCUCCUCGUUGUCCUGGGUGGGCAGGGAGAGACAUGGGACACCCGUGAACAUCCAGGGAUGCAGACACCAGUCCGUGUCCCCCGACCCCACUGCCACAGCCAGGCUAAUCUCAGCAGCCUCAGGCCUCGAACGCACACCCGGGGUGCCCGAUUUCCCCGGGACCCUGUCCUCCCCGCCCUGUGGACCUGCCACGCGCCGGCCUACUCUGCCUAGUGGGGAUCUUUCAGACUAAAGAAACCUAUUUGAGUUUUGUUCCUUCUGGGGCUCGGGGGCUCCGGGUCGUUGUCUUUUUCUUCCCAGUGAGAAAAGCAGAAAGCCGUGGACCUUGCUGCGCGGCCCCCAGGCAGGGUGACGGGGAGAAGCUGGCGGGGUAUUUUUAGCCGGCCUUGGGCCCCCACAGCGUCUCCUCUCUGCUGUGCCUGGCUCCGGGGAAUUAUCUCACAGGGCCGGCCGGCAGCCACUUCUAAAGCCACUCUGUGACCCCUGCCUGAAUUCCUUCCUCGUUAUGAACUGCUCACCAGAUCUCUGACCAACACUUGGAACCAUGUUACGCGCACGUCUCUUCUCAGAAGACCAGCUCACUCCUGGCCCUUCGUGAUUCUUGGUCCCAGCUGAGUCCUGUCCGUACACUGGCUCAACAUAUAUAUAUUUUGACUUAAUAUUUACCUUGACUUCAA
Molecule: long non-coding RNA, 1360 nt
Organism: Canis lupus familiaris (dog)
Lineage: Eukaryota; Metazoa; Chordata; Mammalia; Carnivora; Canidae
Exons: 3
Source: RefSeq, a predicted model, not a curated record